RNAcentral lists this ribosomal RNA (863 nucleotides) under uncultured Prochlorococcus sp. RNAcentral's name for it is "bacterial SSU rRNA". It matches the Rfam family "Bacterial small subunit ribosomal RNA", at positions 8 to 916 of the family's 1533-position model. The record is from RNAcentral. Lineage: Bacteria; Bacillati; Cyanobacteriota; Cyanophyceae; Synechococcales; Prochlorococcaceae.
AGAGUUUGAUCCUGGCUCAGGAUGAACGCUGGCGGCGUGCUUAACACAUGCAAGUCGAACGAACCUUCGGGUUAGUGGCGGACGGGUGAGUAACGCGUGGGAAUCUGCCCUCAGGAGGGGGGCCACGGUUGGAAACGGCCGCUAAUACCCCAUAUGCCGAGAGGUGAAAUGAAUUUCGCCUGAGGAUGAGCCCGCGUCUGAUUAGCUAGUUGGUGAGGUAAUGGCUCACCAAGGCAUCGAUCAGUAGCUGGUCUGAGAGGAUGAUCAGCCACACUGGGACUGAGACACGGCCCAGACUCCUACGGGAGGCAGCAGUGGGGAAUUUUCCGCAAUGGGCGCAAGCCUGACGGAGCAACGCCGCGUGAGGGAUGAAGGCCUCUGGGCUGUAAACCUCUUUUAUCAAGGAAGAAGAUCUGACGGUACUUGAUGAAUAAGCCACGGCUAAUUCCGUGCCAGCAGCCGCGGUAAUACGGGAGUGGCAAGCGUUAUCCGGAAUUAUUGGGCGUAAAGCGUCCGCAGGCGGCCCUACAAGUCUGCUGUUAAAGCGUGGAGCUUAACUCCAUCAAGGCAGUGGAAACUGAUUGGCUUGAGUGUGGUAGGGGCAGAGGGAAUUCCCGGUGUAGCGGUGAAAUGCGUAGAUAUCGGGAAGAACACCAGUGGCGAAGGCGCUCUGCUGGGCCAUAACUGACGCUCAUGGACGAAAGCCAGGGGAGCGAAAGGGAUUAGAUACCCCUGUAGUCCUGGCCGUAAACGAUGAACACUAGGUGUCGGGGGAAUCGACCCCCUCGGUGUCGUAGCCAACGCGUUAAGUGUUCCGCCUGGGGAGUACGCACGCAAGUGUGAAAACUCAAAGGAAUUGACGG